Molecule: ribosomal RNA, 456 nt
Filed under: uncultured Sphingobacteriales bacterium
Lineage: Bacteria; Pseudomonadati; Bacteroidota; Sphingobacteriia; Sphingobacteriales
Description: bacterial SSU rRNA
Rfam family: Bacterial small subunit ribosomal RNA
Source: RNAcentral
CAAGCGGAGGAGCAUGUGGUUUAAUUCGAUGAUACGCGAGGAACCUUACCUGGGCUCGAACGUAAGAUGACUGUAGGUGAAAGCUUACAUCUCUUCGGAGCAUUUUACGAGGUGCUGCAUGGUUGUCGUCAGCUCGUGCCGUGAGGUGUCGGGUUAAGUCCCAUAACGAGCGCAACCCCUACCUUUAGUUGCCAUCAGGUUAAGCUGGGGACUCUAAAGGAACUGCCUACGCAAGUAGUGAGGAAGGCGGGGAUGACGUCAAAUCAGCACGGCCCUUACGUCCAGGGCUACACACGUGCUACAAUGGCCGAUACAGAGGGCAGCUACCUGGUGACAGGAUGCAAAUCUCCAAAGUCGGUCUCAGUUCGGAUCGGAGUCUGCAACCCGACUCCGUGAAGUUGGAUUCGCUAGUAAUCGCGCAUCAGCCAUGGCGCGGUGAAUACGUUCCCGGGCCUU